Amblyraja radiata (thorny skate) is the source of this 470-nucleotide non-coding RNA. The record is from the annotation of a RefSeq genome assembly. Lineage: Eukaryota; Metazoa; Chordata; Chondrichthyes; Rajiformes; Rajidae.
CAACUUCCUUGCAGUUGGUUUGUUGCGAGGUUCUGUACAGAAACAACCGGGUCACACUUCCCAGCGGGAUGAUGUCGGCGGUUUCACUCAGUCUGUUCCUGGCGUUAAUAGUCCGUGUCCAUUCCGAUAUCGUUCUCACUCAGCCCAAGACAGAGACCGGCACUCCUGGAGGCUCCAUCACACUGACCUGUAAAGUCAGCGGGUUCGAUCUUAGCAGCUACUAUAUGCAUUUGGUCCGUCAGGUCCCCGGGCAGGGGCUGGAGUGGCUGCUUGCCUACUACAGUUCUUCUAGCAAGUACUUCGCACCGGGGAUAGAGACCCGAUUUACUCCGUCCACAGACCAUUCGACUAACAUAUUCACCGUGAUCGCCAGGAACCUGAGGAUCGAAGACACCGCUGUAUAUUACUGUGCGAGAGACACAGUGUGAGCAUUCAGUGUCAGACCCGUACAAGAACGGCACGUUGGGAAG